GGAGAGGAGGGGAGGGGAGAGAAGGGGAGGGGAGAGAAGAGGGGAGAGAGGAGGGGAGGGGAGAGAAGAGGGGAAGAGGAGAGGGGGGAGAGAAAUGGCAUCUAUCAAAAUAUGAGAUGUCAACAUAAUAAGUUAUUAGGUGCUAUUCCUUGGUACAGCUGCUGUGAAAUGUAUAUCCUCACAGCAAAACAAUGGUGCUUUUUAUUUGAAAAUGGAUGUAAAGAGGAUUUUAGAGCAAAAAUGUCUACUUGGUUUUGUUCUAUCAGAUUAUUGGAUGAUUAGAAACUAAAUGUGCUGAGGCAGAGUAGAGCUGAGGUGAAGUGGCUUUGUGAUGAUGUCCUCAUCAGAGAGGACUGUGUCUGUGAUGAAGGACUGGAUAUUAUAAUGUCCUCAUCAGAGAGGACUGUGUCUGUGUUGAAGGACUGGAUAUUAUAAUGUCCUCAUCAGAGAGGACUGUGUCUGUGUUGAAGGACUGGAUAUUAUAAUGUCCUCAUCAGAGAGGACUGUGUCUGUGUUGAAGGACUGGAUAUUAUAAUGUCCUCAUCAGAGAGGACUGUGUCUGUGUUGAAGGACUGUGGAUAUUAUAAUGUCCUCAUCAGAGAGGACUAUGUCUGUGUUGAAGGACUGGAUAUUAUAAUGUCCUCAUCAGAGAGGACUGUGUCUGUGUUGAAGGACUGUGGAUAUUAUAAUGUCCUCAUCAGAGAGGACUAUGUCUGUGACGAAGGACUGUGGAUAUUAUAAUGUCCUCAUCAGAGAGGACUGUGUCUGUGAUGAAGGACUGUGGAUAUUAUAAUGUCCUCAUCAGAGAGGACUGUGUCUGUGAUGAAGGACUGUGGAUAUUAUAAUGUCCUCAUCAGAGAGGACUGUGUCUGUGAUGAAGGACUGGAUAUUAUAAUGUCCUCAUCAGAGAGGACUGUGUCUGUGAUGAAGGACUGUGGAUAUUAUAAUGUCCUCAUCAGAGAGGACUGUGUCUGUGAUGGACUGGAUAUUAUAAUGUCCUCAUCAGAGAGGACUGUGUCUGUGUUGAAGGACUGUGGAUAUUAUAAUGUCCUCAUCAGAGAGGACUAUGUCUGUGUUGAAGGACUGGAUAUUAUAAUGUCCUCAUCAGAGAGGACUGUGUCUGUGUUGAAGGACUGUGGAUAUUAUAAUGUCCUCAUCAGAGAGGACUAUGUCUGUGAUGAAGGACUGUGGAUAUUAUAAUGUCCUCAUCAGAGAGGACUGUGUCUGUGUUGAAAGACUGAUCUAGGGUCAGGCUGGGUAGGUAGGGGCUGGUAGGUCGAUGAGGUGCUUACUACAUGGGCAUGACUGCAUAUACUUGAAUAGAAGGUGUUCUUCAGAGCCUGGGGUUGUCUCAGUAAUACUGACUAGAAGGUGUUCCUCAGAGCCUGGGGUUGUCUCAGUAAUACUGAAUAGAAGGUGUUCCUCAGAGCCUGGGGUUGUCUCAGUAAUACUGACUAGAAGGUGUUCCUCAGAACCUGGGGUUGUCUCAGUAAUACUGAAUAGUUCUUCAGAACCUGGGGUUGUCUCAGUAAUACUGAAUAGCUCUUCAGAGCCCGGCUGGUCUCAGUAAUUCUGAAUAGUUCUUCAGAGCCCGGGUGGUCUCAGUAAUACUCCGGGUUGUAGUGAAAGGCAGUUAGUGUUAUAACACGUGAUUAUAAAGCACUCUGAUUAAUCAGGACUUAAGGUUGACUCAUGUAGCUUUUUGAAUUGCUUAGUUUAUACCAUGUUGACUGUUGCAACUGUAGAGUUUUAUUUUUCAUAUGUUCGUUUCUUUAAUAAUAUUUUCAGUAGUGAACCCGAUACGUGUCUCUGGCCAGAGUGUAAAUUCCUAAAACGCUUGUUCCCUUGCACAGCCAAAAAAAGUGUUCCCAUAUCCCCUUUGCUUUAUGUGGAAGGCAACCUGUAAAACAGACUCCUAAACCUAGUAAUGAACAUUUUCCCCAAAUGUGUUGAACCUUCAGAUUUUCUACAUUUUCUAGUGUUUGACAAAGGUUUUUAUUAGUUAACCAUAAAUCACACUAAGGCUUCUUUAAAGCUUUUGUCAAAGUUGUACUUAUUUAUUUCACAUAAAACAAUAUUGUCAAAUAAAAGAGGCAAUCUAAAAGAUAUGAAACUGAACUUAGGGCUGAAUAGAACAGAAUGUUGUGUUGUUGUCUGGUUGGUCGGUCGGUAACCACGGAGCCACUUAUGACCUAAUGCACAAGAACUAUACUAUGGGAUCCUAUCAGACUGUCACUGUGUGGAUAAUUGGAGGCUCCAGGACACGGAGCAGAAGACUCUGUUUGAUUGGAGUUCAGAACAGGUGUGGCUGGCUGGGGAUUGGAUGGACGACCUGGUGACCUCAUCAGGUCAGGGAGUAGAGCCCCGGCCUGCCCCGCUGAUGAUUGGUUCAGUGCCUGCCAGCUGCACACUGCUCAGUAGCCCCGCCCCCUUUGGAACCCAUUGCCGCCUGCUGAUUGGAGAACAUCAGUGGGGAGGGGCGGGACAGGGGGCGGGGUCACAACGUUCUUUUGACUUUUUUUAUUGUAGUUAUUUUGUGGAUUGAUAGUCGGGAGGAAUCGUGUCCUUAGGUCGAAUACAAUGUGCCUUUGGUUAUUAAUGCCAUUCAUUUAGUAACCCAAGACCAGUAACAUAAUGACUUCAUUCCCCUACACCUCCCUACAGCACAUCUCCCCUGAACAUACAUCCAUUUCGCAGAUGUUUGAAAUGUUUACAGUCAUUUUCAUGGAUGUUUUCUUCAAGCCCAAAGACAGUCUUCCUGGCUUAACCUCUGAUGUGGUAGCGAGGAGAAAGCCAAGCGGCCGCACAAUGACAGGUAUUACAUGGGCUACAUCCACAAUGGCACCCUAUUCCCUAUAUAGUGCACUACUUUUGAUAGGGCUCUGGUCAAAAGUAGUGCACUAUAUAGGGAAUAGGGUGCCAUUUCGGGGAAACAGCCGUGCAGUUUCGAGACAGAGCGUCAGAUCUUUUGGGAUGACUAACUCUCACCUGGAAACACCCUUUGCCAACAGGGAACGCUUAGUAAGAAGCAAUCACCUUAUGCUCUGAAAGGGUUGAGGAACUGACAGCCUCUGUCUUGUCUUAACAUCAAAACAAUUCAAGGGGUUAUAGCUGUUAGCUUCAUUUUAUUACUCCCAGAGAGAAGGACAAAAAUACAUUUGAAUCUUUACCUCAGACUGUUGUGAUAGAUAUCUCUUCUUAUUGUGAUGUGAAUAACCCAGGGCAUUUGGUUACAUACCAAAGUGCAUUUCUUUCUACGUUUGUGGCUAUGAGGAAAUGAAGCCAGUGGAUUUUGACUCUUAUUUUUCUGAGUAAAAAAAUAAGGCACUCAAACCACUUUUGGUCAUUCAAGGGCCAUAUCUAUCUAUCUGUCUGGAGAAUGCUUGUCUUCAGCUGAGAAGGAAGUAGGGAGAUGGAGUACAGUGUUUAUUUUAUUACACCACUGUCUGAACGUCGUAGCACAACUCCAAACCUCUGUGUGCUCCACACGGUUGGAUGUAGCUUCUUUUCAGUGCAGUGUCAACUGUCCUAUCACAAUCUGCAGUCUAUAGUUGGUGUGUCAGUCAGCCCAAUGUGCUACUCCACGGUAAGGUAACAUAGCUGUGGCAGAAUCAAGCAUUUGACUAUAUUGUAAAUGUUUAGAAUUUAAAAAAAAUAAUUUUUAAAUACUUUUUUUUGCUACUUGUAAGAAUUUUAACUCUUGACUGUCUCGGGAGCUCUACUACACAACUUUUAGAAGACAGUCUCUAGAGUUCUACUACACAACUUUUAGAAGACAGUCUCUAGAGUUCUACUACACAACUUUUAGAAGACAGUCUCUAGAGUUCUACUACACAACUUUUAGAAGACAGUCUCUAGAGUUCUACUACACAACUUUUAGAAGACAGUCUCUAGAGUUCUACUACACAACUUUUAGAAGACAGUCUCUAGAGUUCUACUACACAACUUUUAGAAGACAGUCUCUAGAGUUCUACUACACAACUUUUAGAAGACUCUCGAGAGCUCUACUACACAACUUUUAGAAGACAGUCUCUAGUUCGACUACACAACUUUUAGAAGACAGUCUCUAGAGUUCUACUACACAACUUUUAGAAGACAGUCUCUAGUUCUACUACACAACUUUUAGAAGACUCUCUAGAGCUCUACUACACAACUUUUAGAAGACAGUCUCUAGUUCUACUACACAACUUUUAGAAGACAGUCUCUAGAGUUCUACUACACAACUUUUAGAAGACAGUCUCUAGUUCUACUACACAACUUUUAGAAGACAGUCUCUAGUUCUACUACACAACUUUUAGAAGACAGUCUCUAGAGUUCUACUACACAACUUUUAGAAGACAGUCUCUAGUUCUACUACACAACUUUUUAGAAGACAGUCUCUAGAGUUCUACUACACAACUUUUAGAAGACAGUCUCUAGUUCUACUACACAACUUUUAGAAGACUGUCUCUAGAGCUCUACUACACAACUUUUAGAAGACAGUCUCUAGUUCUACUACACAACUUUUAGAAGACAGUCUCUAGAGUUCGACUACACAACUUUUAGAAGACAGUCUCUAGAGUUCUACUACACAACUUUUAGAAGACUCUCGAGAGUUCUACUACACAACUUUUAGAAGACAGUCUCUAGAGUUCUACUACACAACUUUUAGAAGACUCUCGAGUUCUACUACACAACUUUCAGAAGACAGUCUCUAGAGUUCGACUACACAACUUUUAGAAGACAGUCUCUAGAGUUCUACUACACAACUUUCAGAAGAAGGAAGUAAGAAAACAGAAUCUUGAACCGUGCAACAACGUUGAUAGAUGUUAGUACUCUGUACCACAGCCACGUACGAUGUACAUAUGUAUAAUGUCUUUGUCUUUGGUGAAAUGCUGCUGGAAGCACUACAUGAAUGUUGUAGUGGGUUUUAAGCUUGGUCAGUUUUACUAUAGUGUAUGUAAUGUACAGCUAAUGGAAGGUCACACUUUUUUUUUUUUUUUUUUAGUGAUUAUUUGUUAAAUUUUAUUGUUGUGGCCGGGAAAAUGUUAUUAAAUAAAAUAAAAGUUUUAAUGUCCAUCUUUAUAAAUGAAUUGUUUACUGGUGGUUAUUUGUCACAGGAAGUGUCAUUCCAGGUUAAAGGUCGUCAGGGAAUGAGGUCCAAAGUACUUGAAUCGAUGUACGGUUUGCUUC
Oncorhynchus tshawytscha (Chinook salmon) is the source of this 5172-nucleotide long non-coding RNA. The record is from Ensembl. Lineage: Eukaryota; Metazoa; Chordata; Actinopteri; Salmoniformes; Salmonidae.